This 690-nucleotide ribosomal RNA is filed under the name uncultured bacterium. Its description in RNAcentral is "bacterial SSU rRNA". It matches the Rfam family "Bacterial small subunit ribosomal RNA", at positions 72 to 748 of the family's 1533-position model. The record is from RNAcentral.
AGAGGAGCUUGCUCUUCUUGGAUGAGUUGCGCACGGGUGAGUAACGCGUAGGUAACCUGCCUUGUAGCGGGGGAUAACUAUUGGAAACGAUAGCUAAUACCGCAUAACAAUGGAUGACACAUGUCAUUUAUUUGAAAGGGGCAAAUGCUCCACUACAAGAUGGACCUGCGUUGUAUUAGCUAGUAGGUGAGGUAACGGCUCACCUAGGCGACGAUACAUAGCCGACCUGAGAGGGUGAUCGGCCACACUGGGACUGAGACACGGCCCAGACUCCUACGGGAGGCAGCAGUAGGGAAUCUUCGGCAAUGGGGGCAACCCUGACCGAGCAACGCCGCGUGAGUGAAGAAGGUUUUCGGAUCGUAAAGCUCUGUUGUAAGUCAAGAACGAGUGUGAGAGUGGAAAGUUCACACUGUGACGGUAGCUUACCAGAAAGGGACGGCUAACUACGUGCCAGCAGCCGCGGUAAUACGUAGGUCCCGAGCGUUGUCCGGAUUUAUUGGGCGUAAAGCGAGCGCAGGCGGUUUGAUAAGUCUGAAGUUAAAGGCUGUGGCUCAACCAUAGUUCGCUUUGGAAACUGUCAAACUUGAGUGCAGAAGGGGAGAGUGGAAUUCCAUGUGUAGCGGUGAAAUGCGUAGAUAUAUGGAGGAACACCGGUGGCGAAAGCGGCUCUCUGGUCUGUAACUGACGCUG